CUGCAUGAAGCUGGAAUCGCUGUAAUCGCGGAUCAGAAUGCCGCGGUGAAUACGUUCCCGGGUCUUGUACACACCGCCCGUCACACCAUGGGAGUAGGUAAUGCCCGAAGUCGGUGACCUAACCGGAAGGAAGGAGCCGCCGAAGGCAGGACUUAUAACUGGGGUGAAGUCGUAACAAGGUAAC
This 184-nucleotide ribosomal RNA is filed under the name uncultured bacterium. RNAcentral's name for it is "partial 16S ribosomal RNA". It matches the Rfam family "Bacterial small subunit ribosomal RNA", at positions 1316 to 1500 of the family's 1533-position model. The record is from RNAcentral.